UUAAAACAAACCGAAAGUUGCUUCCGAAAGAAGAACCAUCGCUGUCUCUUGCAACUCAAAGAGACAUUUUCUAAGUAGAAGAUUCACAAGGAUUUGCGGCAUAACUAUGUAAAGGAAGGAAGAUAUCACCAUCAUACAUGUCAGGUUUCUUGUUUCCCAGAAGACAGGUCUCAGAGAUGGGAUAUUUGAACUGUGGACAAAGGGACAUCAGUGUGGUAUAAGGUAC
Molecule: long non-coding RNA, 226 nt
Organism: Saccostrea echinata
Lineage: Eukaryota; Metazoa; Mollusca; Bivalvia; Ostreida; Ostreidae
Exons: 3
Source: RefSeq, a predicted model, not a curated record